GUUAAUUCUAAUGGAGGAAUCUAUUGUUGAACCAGUCAGACAAGUUUAUUUGUAAGAUGAGGACCACACACUUGCCACCUACAUAAUGCCAUUAUUUCCUUAGUCUAAACCAAGGCUGUGGGCUGAGCAGUUAAGUGCCACGAUUAGCAUCAGAGAAGAAGGAACUGGAUUGCCAAGCUACAACCACCUCUUCACUUAGUUGGUAAACAGAGAACAAUAGGGAGAGAGCUGAGUCAGACCCAUUCUUGGUGUUUGCUUGACUCCAAAGCUGUGACUAAUGGAUGAGCAAGACACUUUGGGGUGUUGAGCCCCUCUGUCUUAUGCUUGGAUUGUAUAUAUGUGUAAAUAAAUCCUAUAUCAUCAUGUUGGCGUGGUCUGGAAAACCUGGAAUCUCUCACUGCUCAGCGAUUGGGGUUAUGUGCAGUGAUACUUUGGAUCAUCGGGUCUAGUCAGGUAUUCAUUUUUAUCUCUGCACAUGAAAUUUUCUCACUCCAUUUGUUUUAACUCUUUGCAACCCAGGAGGAGAAGAAGAACAAAACGAAUGGAUAUUUCCACAACGAAAACUUAAAAGCUGUUGUGGCCAAUUUAUUUGCUGCUGGCACAGAGACCACUGCUAUCACACUGCGCUGGGGACUGUUAUUAAUGAUGAAAUAUCCUGAAGUUCAGAGUGAGUGCUUUUCAUUGGGUUGGCUCCCAUUAUUAUGAGAUAUCUUAAUUUCAAUUUUAUGUAACUAUUAGAGCAAGAGCUCAAAGAAAACUUGGGGCAGAUUUGGAUGUUACCUGAAACAGCAGCAGGAGGGGAUGAGUACAUUGCCCUUCCUGUCAUAGUGAAGAUUGGUGUGAAUUAAUUAAUCAACCAAGGGGCGGGAUUGUGUAAGGUGAUUAUGAAUAUGAAAACACUGGAAACGCAUAUUGUAGAGCCCUGCUUGGUCAGGAAUCUCCAUGGAAGUGGCCACCUUAUGAGAGCUACAGCCAUUUUCCCACCUGAUAUUUAAAUAGCAAUCCUGGAUGCAUUUGUCUCCAUCAGUAUAUCAGGCAUUGGCUUAAAUCAGUGGUUCCCAAUUAGCCAAUUACUGAGGACUUUUCAAAAGCCAAGCCACAGAACCCCUACUUUUGAAAAUUUUGAUAACUCUAUGGCAGUUACCUGUGCAAGUCAUUUUAAAAAAUGUGGGGCAGCCUCUAAUAAGAAAAGGAUUUUAGGUAUACUAAAUAGACCAUAAAAUUUGUGAUAUUUCCACACAAAAUGACAAAGAUUUAGUUGGGGGAGAGACAAAUUUAAUUUUAUUAACAUAUAGUACAAGUGAACAAAUUAUGACAUGCCAACAGCUACUAAACCUUAAUAAUAAUAAUAAUAAUAAUAAUAAUAAUAAUAAUAAUAAUUUACUUGUUGAUUUAUUUACAUGCCACCCAUCUGACUGAGUUGCCCCAGCCACUCUGGGCAGCUCCCAACAGAAUGUUAAAAACACACUAAACCUAAAUGUGAUGGGAGAAAUCAUGCCUCUUUUCGUCUAAAACAAUCCCUUCCACAUCUGGUUCAAUAUUUCCUACUUUUAUUCUCAAAUAUGGUUCAACAUCAAGCCGAUUUCUAUGCUUGUUCUUCAUAUAACAAAAUGUUGAAAAUGUUUGUUCACAAAGCUAUGCGGACCCAAAGAGAACUAGAUUUUUCAGAGUUUUUUCACCCAACUUCUUAUAAUCAGCAAAAACCUUCACCCAGAAUUGGUCCAGUCUACAUACUUUGUAAAUUACUUCAGUGAACCACCACAAGUUACAUCAGCAAGUGCAUCUUGCUGUUCCACAAAUAGCGCUGUUAGUUGUACAUCACCACAUUCAAAAGGAUUCCUUAUCCAUGAGUUUUCAGGAUUUGGUACAGGAAAGUAAUCCCAGAAGAUAGUCGCUAAAUUAUGCAGGUGCUCAGUGAUGUAAUGUUUUACUUCUGUUAUCAAUUCUUCUUCAAUGGCCUCCAGAAAUGUCUCCUCUGUUGGGAUGUUAGUGAGGCUACAACCUUCUACUCGGUUUCCCCAAAUUUUUGAAUAACUGCCUCAAUCUUAUCUUCAGUGUAAAAAAUAUUCACAUCACUGCCUUGAAGGCUUAUGUUGAGAAUGUAUGUGAAAACGUCUAUCAUACACAACCAUGCAAAGUUGUUUAACUGAUCACAUGGAAAUUUUGAAUCUGUCAAAAUUUUAAAUCAGAGAGUGAGCUGUUGUGCUAAUCAUUGUGGCAAUUUGCUUAGCAAUUUCCCCUGUUGGACUUCCAAGAUGACAAAUGAAUCCCAAACACAUAAGGCAAGAUUCACUGAAAACCCUACCUACAAGUAGUGGAAGAGUUCUAUAAACCUGAGAGUCGCUGAAAGCAAUUAGAAGUUCUUUUCAGUUAAAAAGGGAAGCAAAGGGAAGGGAUCUCUUACUCUUUUUUUUUUAAAAAGGACAAGCACAUAAGGUAAAAGGUAAAGGACCCCUGGAAGGUUAAGUCCAGUCAAAGAUGAUUAUGGGGUUGCGGCGCUCAUCUCACUUUCAUGCCGAGGGAGCCAACGUUUGUCCACAGACAGCUUUCCGGGUUAUGUGGCCAGCAUGACUAAACCUCUUCUGACACAACGGAACACCGUGAUGGAAACCAGAGCACAUGGAAAUGCUGUUUACCUUCCCACUGCAGCAGUACCUAUUUAUCUACUUUCACUGGUGUGCUUUCGAACUGCUAGGUUGGCAGAAACUGGGACAAAGCAAUGGGAGUUCACCCUGUCGCCGGGAUUCAAACUGCAGACCUUCCGAUCAGCAAGCCCAAGAGGCUCAGUGGUGUGGACCAUAGCGCCACCCACGUCCCAUGUAAACCCACCCCGUGGAGCAAGCUGUUCUCUCUCCCUCUCCCUCUCCCUAUUCCCCACUCCAAUCGCAAGAGCCCUAAGAAAUUGUGUCAGAGGUUUUUGCUCAAUCCCAGGUCACUUCCCACCCAGGAACUCUUUCACAAGUUUUUCCCCUGCUGCUCCUGAGCAGAGGCUGGAUGAUGCCUGAAAGGCUUUCACUGUGCAAUUAACAAAAUAUGUGAGUCCCCCAGCAGGUGAUGGUGCUGCAGACCCACAGCAGUCCCUGAACCCCUCACUGAGAACCACUGCCUUAAAUGUUUGUCUUGCUUAAAAAUACCUGUGUAUAAUUCUAGAGAUUAAAUUUGUGGGCCCACGGAAUUGGAGAACCAGUUUAUGCCAGUUCUAUGCUGGAGAGAUUAAUAUUUUGAGAGACAAAAGCCAAAGUCAAAGAGAUAAUCUUAGCAGAAAAAUGAAUGCUUUUCCGUUUUUUGUUUCCCCCAGUAAAGGUCCAAGAAGAAAUUGCAAAGGUUGUUGGAUCUUCUCAGCCAAGGAUUGAACACCGAACAAAAAUGCCUUAUACGGAUGCCGUGGUCCAUGAGAUCCAGAGAUUUGCCGAUAUCGUCCCAACCAACCUGCCACAUGCCACGACUACAGAUGUUACCCUCAAAGGCUACUUCAUUCCAAAGGUGAUCCUUUUCACUGAACUGCUGCCCACUAGUUACAAUAUAUUUUAAGGCUUUUCUGGGAGUAAGCCCCUUGGACUUCAGUGUAGGUGACAUCUGUGCAGACGAGUAUAGUAUUGCAUUGUAAGCAUGCAAUCUACCCUUUGGAAGCUGUCAGGCAUCAGCUUCAACACAUUAAACAGAUCUCAGUGGAAAGGAGCACAAGGUUGGAAAAGAAACCAUUUCUGGUGGAAGAUCAUGACUUAUAUGUUAAAGUUUUUCAAACGAAAGACAUUUCUCAAAUGAUCUCAAAUCUCAUUUCUCCUGCACUGAAUAUUAAUUGUACCGGCGGCAUAUGCUUUAUAUUAAAAUGACUCUCGCUUUGCCUUUGCAGGGGACUCACAUCAUACCAUUGCUGUCCUCUGUGCUGCAUGAUGAAUCUCAAUGGGAGAAACCACAUAAAUUCUAUCCUGAG
Molecule: non-coding RNA, 3934 nt
Organism: Podarcis lilfordi (Lilford's wall lizard)
Lineage: Eukaryota; Metazoa; Chordata; Lepidosauria; Squamata; Lacertidae
Source: the annotation of a GenBank genome assembly